Molecule: ribosomal RNA, 447 nt
Filed under: uncultured bacterium
Lineage: Bacteria
Description: bacterial SSU rRNA
Rfam family: Bacterial small subunit ribosomal RNA
Source: RNAcentral
UGGGGAAUAUUGGACAAUGGGCGAAAGCCUGAUCCAGCCAUGCCGCGUGAGUGACGAAGGCCUUAGGGUUGUAAAACUCUUUCGUCGGGGACGAUAAUGACGGUACCCGAAGAAGAAGCUCCGGCUAACUUCGUGCCAGCAGCCGCGGUAAUACGAAGGGAGCUAGCGUUGUUCGGAAUCACUGGGCGUAAAGCGCACGUAGGCGGAUAGUUAAGUCAGGGGUGAAAUCCUGGGGCUCAACCCCAGAACUGCCUUUGAUACUGGCUGUCUCGAGGUCGAGAGAGGUUGGUGGAAUUCCUAGUGUAGAGGUGAAAUUCGUAGAUAUUAGGAAGAACACCGGUGGCGAAGGCGGCCCACUGGAUCGGUACUGACGCUGAGGUGCGAAAGCGUGGGGAGCAAACAGGAUUAGAUACCCGAGUAGUCCCUGAGCGGGCUGGCAAGGCGCAU